AUGGUCCUCCUUCCAAAAACACUAGCCCCAACCACCCCCGAUGCAUUUAGACCAAUCUCUCUACAAAACUGUACCCCAAAAGCGGUGGCCAAAGUUCUUACAAACAGGGUCAAACCACUCAUCCCUCUACUCAUUCACUACGACCAAACAGGAUUUCUUCAUGGCCGCAACAUUCCAGAAAAUUUUAUUUACGCUGCUGAUAUUCUCGGCGCUUGCCACACAAGAAAGGCCCCCACCAUGGUCAUCAAGCUGGACUUCAGAAAAGCAUUUGACUCCAUUUCUUGGUCCUCUCUAACAUCGAUCCUACAAGCGAGAGGUUUACCUCCUAUCUUCUGUGCAUGGGUCCAAAACAUUCUCCACACUGGCAAAAUGGCUAUUCUCCUCAAUGGCACUCCGGGGUCCUGGAUCCAAUGUAGAGCUGGCCUUCGACAAGGUGAUCCCUUUUCGCCGUAUUUAUUCAUCAUCAUCGCAGAUGUCCUUCAAAGACUGAUCGCACAGGCUUUCAGGCAAAACGAACUAUGCCACCCCCUCCGUUCGAAUGAACCACCAGUAACCCUACAAUACGCCGAUGACACACUUAUUAUUGCUGCUGCCAGCGUCGCAGCAACCACUAUUCUCAAAAACACCCUGCAUGACCUCGCUUCUCACCAUUGCCACAGAUGA
RNAcentral lists this ribosomal RNA (663 nucleotides) under Triticum aestivum (bread wheat). RNAcentral's name for it is "partial small subunit ribosomal RNA". Lineage: Eukaryota; Viridiplantae; Streptophyta; Magnoliopsida; Poales; Poaceae. The record is from RNAcentral.